This 66-nucleotide transfer RNA is filed under the name Typhlopatsa pauliani. Its description in RNAcentral is "tRNA-Ile". Lineage: Eukaryota; Metazoa; Arthropoda; Malacostraca; Decapoda; Atyidae. The record is from RNAcentral.
AAUGACGUGCUUGACUAAAAGGUUACCUUGAUAGGGUAAAUAAAGGAAAUAACAUUCCCGCCAUUA